RNAcentral lists this ribosomal RNA (856 nucleotides) under Trochilia sigmoides. RNAcentral describes it as "partial small subunit ribosomal RNA". It matches the Rfam family "Bacterial small subunit ribosomal RNA", at positions 524 to 1485 of the family's 1533-position model. Lineage: Eukaryota; Ciliophora; Phyllopharyngea; Dysteriida; Dysteriidae. The record is from RNAcentral.
UACAUGAGUGGUAAGCGUUAUCUUUAAUAGUUCAGUGUAAAAAAUCCUACGACUUCCAUAUCAUUUAGUUAUGUUACCUAACGGUUAUUAAAAUUUUCAUAACAAAAAAGUGCUUUAGUCGAAAUAAAUUACUUUAUUUUUUAAAGGUAAAAUUUUAAGAAUUUAAUAAAGUAUUCAAAAAGAAGUUUAUUUAUUUAUUAAAGCUAAGUUUUUAGGAUCAAAGUAUAGGCAUUAAAAAGGAUUAGAGACCCUCGUAAUCUAUACUAUCAAUUAUAGGUAGUAAUAUAAAAUUUAGCUAACGUAAAACUACCUUACUGGGGGACUACAAUCGCAAGAUUCAAACUUAAAAAAAUUGGCGGGACUUUUCAUACGGUGGAACGUGUGGUUUAAUCCGGUAAUCCUCGUAAAACCUUACUAAAACGCUAGUUAUUUUUAUUAAAUUAACUUUUUGUAAACAUUACUAGUAAGUAUUGCAUGGCUGUCGUCAGUUCGUGUUUUAAAAUGUAGCAUUUAGUUGUAUUAACGAACGAAACCCAAGUACUGUAAGUACCUUGGAUGAAGUCAAGUCGUUAUGAUCUACGUGUUUUAGGCUAUACAUGCGUUACUAUUACUAAUAACAAGUGAAUAUUUAAUAAUAAUAUUAAAUGUAUAAAAAUUAGUUUAGAUUAUUCUUUGCAAGUCAAGAAUAUCAAAUCGAAAUCGUCAGUAAUCGUAGUUUAGAAUGAUACGAUGAAGUUUUUUUGAAGUUUGCACACACCGCCCAUCACGCUCGGAGAGUUGAUUUAGCUUAAUUUAAAUAAUUUUGUUUUCCAAAUAAAAUUAUCUAAUCGAAACUAUUUUAGUAAUUUGAGUGAAG